UACGUAGGGUGCAAGCGUUAAUCGGAAUUACUGGGCGUAAAGCGUGCGCAGGCGGUUGCGCAAGACAGAUGUGAAAUCCCCGGGCUCAACCUGGGAACUGCAUUUGUGACUGCACGGCUAGAGUGCGGCAGAGGGAGAUGGAAUUCCGCGUGUAGCAGUGAAAUGCGUAGAUAUGCGGAGGAACACCGAUGGCGAAGGCAAUCUCCUGGGCCUGCACUGACGCUCAUGCACGAAAGCGUGGGGAGCAAACAGG
Molecule: ribosomal RNA, 253 nt
Filed under: uncultured bacterium
Lineage: Bacteria
Description: partial 16S ribosomal RNA
Rfam family: Bacterial small subunit ribosomal RNA
Source: RNAcentral